GACGAACGCUGGCGGCGUGCUUAACACAUGCAAGUCGAACGGAAAGGCCCUGCUUUUGUGGGGUGCUCGAGUGGCGAACGGGUGAGUAACACGUGAGUAACCUGCCCUUGACUUUGGGAUAACUUCAGGAAACUGGGGCUAAUACCGGAUAGGAGCUCCUGCUGCAUGGUGGGGGUUGGAAAGUUUCGGCGGUUGGGGAUGGACUCGCGGCUUAUCAGCUUGUUGGUGGGGUAGUGGCUUACCAAGGCUUUGACGGGUAGCCGGCCUGAGAGGGUGACCGGCCACAUUGGGACUGAGAUACGGCCCAGACUCCUACGGGAGGCAGCAGGGGGGAAUAUUGCACAAUGGGCGGAAGCCUGAUGCAGCAACGCCGCGUGCGGGAUGACGGCCUUCGGGUUGUAAACCGCUUUCGCCUGUGACGAAGCGUGAGUGAGGGUAAUGGGUAAAGAAGCACCGGCUAACUACGUG
RNAcentral lists this ribosomal RNA (468 nucleotides) under uncultured bacterium. RNAcentral describes it as "partial 16S ribosomal RNA". It matches the Rfam family "Bacterial small subunit ribosomal RNA", at positions 28 to 507 of the family's 1533-position model. The record is from RNAcentral.